Molecule: ribosomal RNA, 425 nt
Filed under: uncultured bacterium
Lineage: Bacteria
Description: bacterial SSU rRNA
Rfam family: Bacterial small subunit ribosomal RNA
Source: RNAcentral
GGGGAAUAUUGCACAAUGGGCGCAAGCCUGAUGCAGCCAUGCCGCGUGUAUGAAGAAGGCCUUCGGGUUGUAAAGUACUUUCAGCGGGGAGGAAGGUGCUGUGGUUAAUAACCGCAGCAAUUGACGUUACCCGCAGAAGAAGCACCGGCUAACUCCGUGCCAGCAGCCGCGGUAAUACGGAGGGUGCAAGCGUUAAUCGGAAUUACUGGGCGUAAAGCGCACGCAGGCGGUCUGUUAAGUCAGAUGUGAAAUCCCCGGGCUCAACCUGGGAACUGCAUCUGAUACUGGCAGGCUUGAGUCUCGUAGAGGGGGGUAGAAUUCCAGGUGUAGCGGUGAAAUGCGUAGAGAUCUGGAGGAAUACCGGUGGCGAAGGCGGCCCCCUGGACGAAGACUGACGCUCAGGUGCGAAAGCGUGGGGAGCAAAC